RNAcentral lists this ribosomal RNA (491 nucleotides) under uncultured bacterium. Its description in RNAcentral is "partial 16S ribosomal RNA". It matches the Rfam family "Bacterial small subunit ribosomal RNA", at positions 29 to 506 of the family's 1533-position model. The record is from RNAcentral.
AGUGAACGCUGGCGGUAGGCCUAACACAUGCAAGUCGAACGGCAGCACAGUAAGAGCUUGCUCUUACGGGUGGCGAGUGGCGGCCGGGUGAGGAAUACAUCGGAAUCUACUUUUUCGUGGGGGAUAACGUAGUGAAACUUACGCUAAUACCGCAUACGACCUACGGGUGAAAGCAGGGGAUCUUCGGACCUUGCGCGAUUGAAUGAGCCGAUGUCGGAUUAUCUAGUUGGCGGGGUAAAGGCCCACCAAGGCGAGGAUCGGUGGCUGGUCUGAGAGGAUGAUCAGCCACACUGGAACUGAGAGACGGGCCAGACUCCUACGGGAGGCAGCAGUGGGGAAUAUUGGACAAUGGGGGCAAGCGUGAGACAGCCAGACCGCGGGGGUGAAGAAGGCGUUCGGGUGGUAAAGCCCUUUUGUUGGGAAAGAAAAGCAGCAGGUUAAUACCCCGCUGUUCUGACGGUACCCAAAGAAUAAGCACCGGCUAAUUUCGU